RNAcentral lists this ribosomal RNA (758 nucleotides) under uncultured organism. RNAcentral's name for it is "bacterial SSU rRNA". It matches the Rfam family "Bacterial small subunit ribosomal RNA", at positions 13 to 766 of the family's 1533-position model. The record is from RNAcentral.
UUGAUCCUGGCUCAGGAUGAACGCUAGCGGGAGGCUUAAUACAUGCAAGUCGAGGGGCAGCAUGGGACUUCGGUCCUGAUGGCGACCGGCGCACGGGUGAGUAACGCGUACAGAACCUGCCUACGAGCGGGGAAUAGCCCCGGGAAACUGGGAUUAAUGCCCCAUAGGACCAUAAUGCCGCCUGGCAUACUGGUUAAAGUUUCGGCGCUCGUAGAUGGCUGUGCGUGCCAUUAGCUAGUUGGCGGUGUGACGGACCACCAAGGCGACGAUGGCUAGGGGGCGUGAGAGCGUGGCCCCCCACACGGGUACUGAGACACGGACCCGACUCCUACGGGAGGCAGCAGUAAGGAAUAUUGGACAAUGGGGGCAACCCUGAUCCAGCCAUCCCGCGUGCAGGAUGACGGCCCUACGGGUUGUAAACUGCUUUUGCGAGGGAAGAAACGAACCCACUUGUGGGUUUUUGACGGUACCUCGAGAAUAAGCACCGGCUAGCUCCGUGCCAGCAGCCGCGGUAAUACGGAGGGUGCAAGCGUUAUCCGGAAUCACUGGGUUUAAAGGGUGCGUAGGCGGCAUGGUAAGUCAGGGGUGAAAGGCCGUCGCUUAACGAUUGGACUGCCUUUGAUACUGUCAUGCUUGAAUCAAGUUAAGGGCGGCGGAAUGUGGCAUGUAGCGGUGAAAUGCCUAGAUAUGCCAUAGAACACCGAUUGCGGAGGCAGCUGGCUAGGCUUAGAUUGACGCUGAGCGCCGAAAGCGUGGGG